UGACGGUACCUGACAAAGAAGCCCCGGCUAACUACGUGCCAGCAGCCGCGGUAAUACGUAGGUCCCGAGCGUUGUCCGGAUUUAUUGGGCGUAAAGCGAGCGCAGGCGGUUUAAUAAGUCUGAAGUUAAAGGCAGUGGCUUAACCAUUGUUCGCUUUGGAAACUGUUAAACUUGAGUGCAGAAGGGGAGAGUGGAAUUCCAUGUGUAGCGGUGAAAUGCGUAGAUAUAUGGAGGAACACCGGUGGCGAAAGCGGCUCUCUGGUCUGUAACUGACGCUGAGGCUCGAAAGCGUGGGGAGCAAACAGGAUUAGAUACCCUGGUAGUCCACGCCGUAAACGAUGAGUGCUAGGUGUUAGGCCCUUUCCGGGGCUUAGUGCCGCAGCUAACGCAUUAAGCACUCCGCCUGGGGAGUACGACCGCAAGGUUGAAACUCAAAGGAAUUGACGGGGGCCCGCACAAGCGGUGGAGCAUGUGGUUUAAUUCGAAGCAACGCGAAGAACCUUACCAGGUCUUGACAUCCCGAUGCUAUUUCUAGAGAUAGAAAGUUUCUUCGGAACAUCGGUGACAGGUGGUGCAUGGUUGUCGUCAGCUCGUGUCGUGAGAUGUUGGGUUAAGUCCCGCAACGAGCGCAACCCUUAUCUUUAGUAGCCAGCAUCAUGGAUGGGCACUCUAGAGAGACUGCCAGGGAUAACCUGGAGGAAGGUGGGGAUGACGUCAAAUCAUCAUGCCCCUUAUGACCAGGGCUACACACGUGCUACAAUGGCGUAAACAAAGGGAGGCGAAGCCGCGAGGCAGGGCAAAUCCCAAAAAUAACGUCUCAGUUCGGAUUGUAGUCUGCAACUCGACUACAUGAAGCUGGAAUCGCUAGUAAUCGCGAAUCAGCAUGUCGCGGUGAAUACGUUCCCGGGUCUUGUACACACCGCCCGUCA
This 929-nucleotide ribosomal RNA is filed under the name uncultured bacterium. RNAcentral describes it as "bacterial SSU rRNA". It matches the Rfam family "Bacterial small subunit ribosomal RNA", at positions 470 to 1399 of the family's 1533-position model. The record is from RNAcentral.